Molecule: transfer RNA, 67 nt
Organism: Oryctolagus cuniculus (rabbit)
Lineage: Eukaryota; Metazoa; Chordata; Mammalia; Lagomorpha; Leporidae
Rfam family: tRNA
About the family: Transfer RNA (tRNA) molecules are approximately 80 nucleotides in length.
Source: Rfam
GGGGACUUAGCUUAAUUAAAGCACCUGAUUUGCAUUCAGAAGAUGUGAAGUUAGUUUGCAGUCCUUA